UAGCCGUAAACGAUGAACACUAGGUGUUGCGGGUAUCGACCCCUGCAGUGCCGCAGCUAACGCGAUAAGUGUUCCGCCUGGGGAGUACGCACGCAAGUGUGAAACUUAAAGGAAUUGACGGGGACCCGCACAAGCGGUGGAACAUGUGGUUUAAUUCGAAGCAACGCGAAAAACCUUACCAGGACUUGACAUUGAUAGAACCUUGAUGAAAGUCGAGGGUGCCCUUCGGGGAACUUGAAAACAGGUGGUGCACGGUUGUCGUCAGCUCGUGUCGUGAGAUGUUGGGUUAAGUCCCGCAACGAGCGCAACCCUUGUCGUUAGUUGGUCAUAGCGGUAUACUUCUAUGUACCUCUCUAGCGAGACUGCCGGUGAUAAACCGGAGGAAGGUGAGGACGACGUCAAAUCAUCAUGCCCCUUACGUUCUGGGCUACACACGUGUUACAAUGGCUGGUACAACGAGCAGCAAACUCGCGAGAGUAAGCAAAUCUCUUAAACCCAGUCUCAGUUCGGAUUGCACUCUGCAACUCGAGUGCAUGAAGUCGGAAUCGCUAGUAAACGCAGAUCAGCACGCUGCGUUGAAUACGUUCCCGGGUCUUGUACACACCGCCCGUCACACCAUGGGAGUCGACCACGCCCGAAGUACGUGAGCUAACCUUUUGGAGGCAGCGUCCUAAGGCAGGGUUGGUAACUGGGGUG
This 696-nucleotide ribosomal RNA is filed under the name uncultured equine intestinal eubacterium sp. PL06. RNAcentral's name for it is "bacterial SSU rRNA". It matches the Rfam family "Bacterial small subunit ribosomal RNA", at positions 797 to 1482 of the family's 1533-position model. The record is from RNAcentral.